This is a long non-coding RNA of Dermochelys coriacea (leatherback sea turtle), 1173 nucleotides long. RefSeq lists it as uncharacterized. The transcript has 2 exons. NCBI's taxonomy places the organism in Eukaryota, Metazoa, Chordata, Testudines, Dermochelyidae. The record is from RefSeq and is a predicted model, not a curated record.
AGUCUCUCCUGGGUGGUCAAGGGAGGAGAACUGGCUCCUUGCAAGCAAGCAAGCAAGCAAGCAAGCAAGCAAGCAAGCAAGCAAGCAAGCAAGCAAGCAAGCAAGCAAGCAAGCAAGCAAGCAAGCAAGCAAGCAAGCAAGCAAGCACCUUGCUGGGGAUGGCUGGCCAAGGCCAGGCAGGUGCAUAGGGCUGAAGGGAAAGUGGGCCAGGGACAAUAGCAGGCAAGGGAAGAGAAGGAGGGCGGAGAGGCUGCCGCUAGAGGGUCCCUGGGUCAGGACCCAGAGUAGCAGGUGUGCCUGGAUUCCCCCCCCUUCCCCUUGUGCUACACUGGGCUGAAGAGGAGUGUGGCCCGAUCCAGGCUGUGGCUGGGCCCUGCGAUAAGGGGCUAGACGUAGAGGCUGCAGCCGGCCACUACAACAGGUGCAGAUUGUGGACUGCUGAUAACACCAAACUCACCGGAAGGGGGUGAGACCGGAGCAGUGGGCACUGCUGGAGAGCAGUGUCCUGAAGAGGAUGCUGCUGAGUGGGGAGCAACGAGGGUCCCCAAAGCAGCAGAGCAGACGAGGGGCAAGGUACCAUGCGAAAAAGGUGCUCCAUGAAUAGACAGAGCUAAUUCCUGGAGCAACCAGAGGGAGGUGCCAGCAGUGAAUCCAGCUCCUUGUAGCUCCUGAGCUGCAUACAACCUGCUGAGCUCUUCAGAAAAUUCGGCUCUGAUGCUGGGUGCUGAGCACUCUGGUGCAAUUAUGGCCUAGAUGUCUGCCUCUCUGCAGAGCUGGAGUCCUCACUCGUGCAGUGACAAGAUGCACUGAAAACACAGGUGCAGGAGUGACCUCACUACACUCACCAGUCUUCCUUUACCACACACCAUUUAUUUCUUAGAAACAUGCUUUGAACAGUUGUUUGGUUUUUUUCCAAACAACAUUUCUCAUUCAACACUUCCCUGUGUCCUCCCAUCCCCAGCAAGCUCUGCUAACUUGCUGCAAAUAACUGAACCUGCUACAAGCUUGAAUUUGGAGUCAUCUGAACCUAGUUUGAUAUCUAGGGAACAAACUCCCAUGGGAGCUACGGACCAUCGCAAACCUCCUGAUCUUCCACUUCAAGUGUAAGGCAUGUUUCUCUGCCCUGACUUCUCUACCAUUAACCCAAAGCAUAUGAGCAUUUUAAACAAACCA